This 64-nucleotide transfer RNA is filed under the name Epicauta tibialis. RNAcentral's name for it is "tRNA-Pro". It matches the Rfam family "tRNA". Rfam says of the family: Transfer RNA (tRNA) molecules are approximately 80 nucleotides in length. Their secondary structure includes four short double-helical elements and three loops (D, anti-codon, and T loops). Lineage: Eukaryota; Metazoa; Arthropoda; Insecta; Coleoptera; Meloidae. The record is from RNAcentral.
CAGGGGAUAGUUUAUUAAAAUAUUAAUUUUGGAGAUUAAAGAUAGGGGUUUCCUCUUUUCCUGA